AGUAAAAGUGGUAACAAGGUUUCCGUAGGUGAACCUGCGGAAGGAUCAUUACCGAGUUAGGGUCCCUCCCACGGGGCCCGACCUCCCAACCCCGUGUCUAAUAAACCUGUACGUGUUGCUUCGGCGGACCGGUUCGCUGCGAGGUCUCGCGACCACAACGCCUGCCGCCGGGGGUAAAGGAGUUCACCCUCCCCCCCUGGAGAGCGUCCGUCGAUGGCCCAACCAAACAAACUCCCAAACCAAAAUGUAUGUGAAACACAAUUCUGAAUCAGACCUUUUGAUAUACCAAUCAAAAACAAAACUUUCAACAACGGAUCUCUUGGUUCUGGCAUCGAUGAAGAACGCAGCGAAAUGCGAUAAGUAAUGCGAAUUGCAGAAUUUCCGUGAGUCAUCGAAUCUUUGAACGCACAUUGCGCCCUUUGGCAUUCCGAAGGGCAUGCCUGUUCGAGCGUCAUUAUCCUCCCUCCAAAACCCCUGCUUUACCGCGGGGGUUUCGGGUGUUGGACCGCGUUGGACCGUUCGCGGCCAACUGGUCUCAAAGACAAUGACGGGCGUCCAUGGGACCCUCUUCGCACUGAGCUUUCCGGAGCACGCGUCGAGUUGCAAGGUCUUGUGGGCCCGGCCACCUCUAAAUCUAUUUUUUCAGGUUGACCUCGGAUCAGGUAGGAAUACCCGCUGAACUUAAGCAUAUCAAUAAGCGGAGGAAAAGAAACCAACAGGGAUUGCCCCAGUAACG
This 736-nucleotide ribosomal RNA is filed under the name uncultured fungus. RNAcentral's name for it is "eukaryotic LSU rRNA". The stretch from base 300 to 454 matches the Rfam family "5.8S ribosomal RNA". Lineage: Eukaryota; Fungi. The record is from RNAcentral.